UACGGAGGAUCCAAGCGUUAUCCGGAUUUAUUGGGUUUAAAGGGUGCGUAGGCGGAUUAGUAAGUUAGAGGUGAAAGCUCGGGGCUCAACUCCGGAACUGCCUCUGAUACUGCUGAUCUAGAGAGUAGAUGCGGUAGGCGGAAUGUAUGGUGUAGCGGUGAAAUGCUUAGAGAUCAUACAGAACACCGAUUGCGAAGGCAGCUUACCAAACUAUAUCUGACGUUGAGGCACGAAAGCGUGGGGAGCAAACAGGAUUAGAUA
Molecule: ribosomal RNA, 261 nt
Filed under: uncultured prokaryote
Description: partial 16S ribosomal RNA
Rfam family: Bacterial small subunit ribosomal RNA
Source: RNAcentral